RNAcentral lists this ribosomal RNA (426 nucleotides) under uncultured soil bacterium. RNAcentral describes it as "bacterial SSU rRNA". It matches the Rfam family "Bacterial small subunit ribosomal RNA", at positions 59 to 519 of the family's 1533-position model. The record is from RNAcentral.
CAGUCGAGCGGUAAGGCCCCUUCGGGGGUACACGAGCGGCGGACGGCUGAGUAACGCGUGGGAACAUGCCCCAAAGUGAGGAAUAACUGCCCGAAAGGGUAGCUAAUGCCGCAUAUGAUCUUCGGAUUAAAGGAUUUAUCCGCUUUGGGAGUGGCCUGCGUACGAUUAGGUAGUUGGUGAGGUAAUGGCUUACCAAGCCUACGAUCGUUAGCUGGUCUGAGAGGAUGACCAGCCAGACUGGAACUGAGACACGGUCCAGACUCCUACGGGAGGCAGCAGUGAGGAAUCUUCCACAAUGGGCGAAAGCCUGAUGGAGCAACGCCGCAUGCAGGAUGGAGGCCUUCGGGUCGUAAACUGCUUUUAUAAGUGAAGAAUAUGACGGUAACUUAUGAAUAAGCACCGGCUAACUACNUGCCAGCAGCCGCG